GAACUGUAAACGGGGUCACGCCUGACACUUUCAAGAAGGAUUCACAACUAUGGAAAAGAAGAAUGUCUUACUACAAGACGGUGAAUAAUCAAUUAGGCCAACCAGGGAGAUACAGAAAUCUACUAGAUAUAAAUGCCAACCUUGGUGGUUUUGCUGCCAGUUUGGUUGAUGACCCUGUUUGGGUGAUGAAUAUUGUUCCUGUUGAAGCUAAAGUCAAUACACUUGGUGUUAUUUAUGAACGCGGAUUAAUUGGAACAUAUCAAAGAAUGCCAACCUUGGUGGUUUUGCUGCCAAUUUGGUCGAUGACCCUGUUUGGGUGAUGAAUAUAGUUCCUGUUGAAGCUAAGGUCAAUACACUUGGUGUUAUUUAUGAACGCGGAUUAAUUGGCACAUAUCA
Molecule: long non-coding RNA, 396 nt
Filed under: Nicotiana benthamiana
Lineage: Eukaryota; Viridiplantae; Streptophyta; Magnoliopsida; Solanales; Solanaceae
Description: long non-coding RNA (NBEN_LNC037373)
Source: RNAcentral